AGGUAAAGACAUGAGUGAGCAGCGUCGCCUCUCUGUGCCAAGUAAUGUGACAUUUAAACCUCACUUACCCAACUCUUGUCUCGUUUUGUGACCAAGUUACAACUUCCACUUCAUCUCGGAUGUAAUCCUUGCGCACUUUACGCACGACACAUCCUAAGAAGCUGUAUUUACUUUGAUAGAAGAACUUUUUCAAUUGCUUUUAAACCGAAUUGAAGUCCCCGGUGUGGAUAACGUUACAAUGAGGCAAGUGUCUGAAAAGAAGGAUGCUACCAGUUUAGCUUAGCUGUUAGCAGUGAGCCACACACAAUUGUAAAAUAACAACUGAACAUACGUUACCAAGCGAGCUGGAGACAAAACAUGGGGAAAUAACCUCACCUUAUCGCUGGAACUCGGUGUAUCCCUUUAAAGGGUGAAGAAGAGGAUUGAACAGACUCUCCUCUCCUCCGUUUCACUACCAAGCAACUCAAGAGAAGUGACGUCAGCUCAGGGCUUCUACAAUGCAAACUUUUGUUUCUGCAGCCAGCAAGACAAGUGCACAAAACUGCCAUCAGGAUCAGGAGGAGUCAUGUAUGUGAUGAAGGAAAUGAAGGGUGCACAUGAUUUCCUUUAAAAAAACAAAAAA
Notolabrus celidotus (New Zealand spotty) is the source of this 622-nucleotide long non-coding RNA. RefSeq lists it as uncharacterized. The record is from RefSeq and is a predicted model, not a curated record. The transcript has 2 exons. Lineage: Eukaryota; Metazoa; Chordata; Actinopteri; Labriformes; Labridae.